UUCUGUUCUCCUUUUCAAAGUCUGCCUAGUGAACCUGCUCAGGCAUCCACUAUGUGACUGGCAGGAUCAUUAUCUGCAGAGGAUAGUCCACCUCACCCCACACUCCCCUCUCCCAAAGGACGCCUCACCUGGGAGGGGAAGACAGAGGAGGGGGAGUCUCUUCUCCCCAUCCCAUUAAUCUCCAGGAGCUUCUUGGUUUUGUGACAAUCUGCUCUCCUCCCACCCCUCCACCCCUCCUCUCGCCAUGGGGAGGGUGAAUUAGACUCAAAAAUGACUGUGUGCAGCACAAGUCAAGUAUUACUGGGGCCUAUGAAUGGCAAUAAAAAGAGCCUCAGCUCUAAUCACACAAAUAUGAAAAUUGAUAUUUAGACGAAGUUUUAUCUCAUGGUUGUGUUCCAUCACUAAACCCAGAAGAAAGUGUUUUACACUUAAGAAUAUAGGAAGUUCCAGCUAAAAUGCUAAUGGUCUAAAAUGUUGGAGGGGCUGGCAGAAGCUUCUCAAAGCUGCAAGCAAUUGAGAGGCAGGCACUUGAGCACUGUUCAGGAGUCAAUGGUGCCUUCGUUCUGCAGGAGCUAGUGGUCCCUAACUGGAAGCACACAUUUUAGACUGAGAAGCUGAGAGCUGCAUCUGGUUAAGCAGGUAUGAAAGGGCAGAUGGCUGUCUCUCCACAACCUUUGCUGUUUUUGGUGAAAAGGAAUUCAACUGUGUUUGGGUGAAAAUGAAGAAGCUCUUUUAUGAACAGCUGCUCACACAAAUCAGGAACCGAGGCCUGGGGCCUGGAGUGACCCCAGCUGAGCAGUAUUUAUCCCUGACUGCCCCUAAUGUCCUACAUGUGGAGCUACCUAAGACCAAACAAGCUGGCUUUGGUGAUGGAAGAUGUGACCAGCCUGCUGGAGACAGAGGGCUCUGCUUUCCAGGAGCCCAGGCGGACACACAGGGAUGAGUGGAGUGAGGGGGAGCACUCCUCUUCUGGAGCUUCGUGGCUAUCGAUAGACUCAGAAGGGCUCCAUAGUGCUCGGGACGCUCCUGGCGGUGAAGAGACUUGAAUGAGUUUUAGAUGCUGAAGUUUCCUUUACUCUGGAAAACAAGCUGACUGAAGAAUGCUCCAACCAUUGUUCUCGGAGAAAGCAGUAAAGAAACCCUUGACCUAAACACACAUACUGCAGACUCUGAAACCAGCAGAACUGUUUUGUCUGUUAGUGAAAAACAGCUGGUUUUUGUUGGGCAUGGUGAAGUCAGAGCUCUUCCUCUGUAGAUUUCUGUCCUGGACCUGAGUGGUGAGGGGAAGGCAGCCCAGGGGAGACCAGUGGACCAGAAGGAGCCAGAGGAAUUUCUGGAAGCACAAUCAUGCCUUAGUGUAGGCAGAGAUAGCAUCAGGAACUGACGAGGGGCUCGGGGAAAGUACCACGGCCUGGGGACACAGAUGAGAUACUAGGGAUGGAAAGAAGUUUACGUGAGGGCACUCAGGCCUCAUAAUUUGUCUGAAAGUUGGGCAUCCAUGUCCACAUGGCAUCAUUGUUUGCCACUGGCACCAGUCGCAGAGUUGGAGGAUUUAAUUCACCAUCAAUGGCCAGUGUAGCCAGAUGAGGGCAAAGGGCUGGGGUAGCCGGACACGGCCAGGCUGGCUCUGCGAGAAUUCUGAAAACUUGUUCUGCUUCUGCAGCUGCACAUGGAUAAAACAGCCACUGGAUACGGAGGGAGGGCCUGCUGCAGUGACUGUCACAUCCGAGUGUUCUUUAGAUACUGAAAACACUGAAACAAAGACCUUUCAUCUAGCGUGUUUGUUUUUGUUGUAAAUUGAAUAUGCGCUUAUGUUAGAUGAAGAAAAAACUAGAUGAGAAAGCACAUAUCACCUGCAUUCCUGCCGUCCAGCUCUUUCCAUUCACAUUUAAACUCUUUCUAGAAGACUGGGAUAAUCUUCUGUAUUUGUAUUGUAUUUAUUUUCUAAUGGGCUUUUUUAUGAGCGUAUUUUUAAUUAAAUUAAAACAAAUUUAAUGGCUACAUGUCAUUCUGCUUUAUGGCUCUAUAUCCUUUAACUAGUUCUCUAUUGUUGGCCAUUUAGGCUUGUCCUGGUUUUUGUAAUAAUUAACACUCUCAUGGUUAUCUUUCUACAAAAUUCUUUGCCUCAUCCCUGGUAGUUUCUUUAGCGUAGCUUCUCAGGAGUAGAAUUACUGGGACAAGUGACCUGAACUUGGUAAAGCCCACACUACCAAAUUGCCUGCAUCAAGUUGUACUCCCACCAUCUCUAUUAUUGCUUUUGUUACCUUGUGGCAAAAUCUAUUUAUAAGCUAGUUGGUGGGGGUGCGGGUGCUUUUAUUGCAUUGUUCUGGGCUUUGGACUUCCUGGGUGAGACUCCAUUAAGAACUAAGCCAAAUGAACUCAAAACGCCCACCCUGGCCCCUUUAGGGAUGCACCUUCCAACUGCCCAGGAGCCAAGAGGAUGGGAAUGUGUGGUCCAAGGGCUUCCCCAGGCUCCCGGUGACAAGCCCUAAGAGUCCUCAGGGUGGGCCUCCUCAAAUUGGGGAACAAAGGAGUAGCCCAGCUCGUCCUAGGCAGUCUGCUUAGCCUGGGUGUUCCAGGUCCUAGUCGCUCCAUGAUUAUCAGUGAUAAGCCAUGCUUCUGAGAGAGGCCAUUGUGCUGAAUCUGUGUCACCUCUGGAUUUCAUGCACAAACAGGGCCCUUUGGAGCACCAGAGCUGGGAUCACCGGAGGGUGGAGGUGGCUCAGCUGUGAGACCACUGGCUGCUGAGGUGGGCUAGGGCAUCUUGCAGGGCCGGUCUCCUCCCCUCAGCUGGGACCUCCUCCUGCACACUCGCCUCAGAAGGGAACUGGUGGGAGGGGAAGGGCUGGACCAGUGCCAUCCAAGAGAAAUUUUAAAAGAAGUUAAAAACAUGGCUCUCAAACAAAAGAGAAUGACCAUGCAUCCAAAAUUUCAUUCAGCUCCUCAAUUCAGGAGGAAGCCAGGAAGUUGGUAAUGUGGGCU
This is a long non-coding RNA of Equus caballus (horse), 2982 nucleotides long. Lineage: Eukaryota; Metazoa; Chordata; Mammalia; Perissodactyla; Equidae. The record is from Ensembl.